Long non-coding RNA from Oenanthe melanoleuca, 3082 nucleotides. RefSeq lists it as uncharacterized. The record is from RefSeq and is a predicted model, not a curated record. Lineage: Eukaryota; Metazoa; Chordata; Aves; Passeriformes; Muscicapidae. The transcript has 3 exons.
UUUUUAUUCAAAAGUAUUGCUGAGAUUUAUGAUUUUCUAAAAAAGAGAAAAUUGUGGGCAAAUAUUGAGGUUUCACCUGUGCAUUGAGUGUUCUUCAGAGAGCCUGUGAGGGUAGGGUUGUUGCAGUUCCUGUGGCACCCAGCACUGCCCAGUCCCAGAUUGGGAUACUGGUCUUGGUGGCCUCUGCUGCUCCUCACAGGCUGUAGGGCAGGGCAGGAGAAGGAGCUGCCUGCCCCCAGGUGACCUCAAGUUUGGAUUAUUGAUCCUAUCCCUGCCUGCCUGGAGGCACUUUUUAGGACAAUUAAGGGAAUUCUGUGGGUGGUAAAGAAUGUGGAAAAACAUGCUGUGCUGAAACCAGUGAAGUUACACCCCAACAAGUCUUUUCUGAUCUCAGUGACUUGGAGUGAAUGAUGUCCUGUUGCUAUUUGACCCCUUUCUGACCCAUCUUGAGCUACUUCAGGCAGAGGGACUACCCAUGUUCCCAUUUUCUAAUGCAGCAGAGGCCAUGAUGAAUGAACCGUUUUUGUGGAUCCAGCUCACAGCAAUAUUUGCUUGUGACAAUUCACAGCUGCUGCUCUGCCCUUCUGUGUCUCAGCAGAGCCAGCCUGGGAGUGGUGCUGGCUGAGUGCACAACUCCUCUGGGGAAGGAGGGAGGUCAAGUAAAAUCAUGGAGACUUGGUCCAUCUGUGCUCAGUGCACAGUGUGCCAAGUGGAAAAAUCUUCCAACCACUCAUUUCCUGAAGCCAGCAGAAGUCUCGAGACUGGUGAGAAUCACUCUGGACAGGUAUGCUUUUAUUUUUAAGCAAUUGCUGUUCCCCACUAUCAGAGUAUGAAGCAAGCUGGAUUUAUGGUCUGACUGAGAAACUCGUGCUCUUAAAAUUCCUGGGUUUAGUCAAGACUGUUUUUUUAGCUUUUAAAUUAUUUCAGAACUAUGAGGUAUGAAACAGCUUCUCCCUUCAUCUGACAGCAGGUAAAUAUGCAGUGCUGAUGGCAAAAGCAUUUUUAUGUUGUCAGUGAUGUUCUGUGGAGGAAUCCAAGUUCCUCCAUCAAGAGGAAGCUCAUCCCCAGGGAAGCUUGUGGCAGGUCUGGCUGGACAAAUUAGCAUCAUCAUGUGCAAGGAAAAAGUGUGGCUUUGUUCAAACCUAUGUCAAAUAAAUUCCAGAAGAGAGAGACCUUUGGAAAGCUCCUCUUGCUUGAGCUUUUUGGAAAUAUAAUGGGUGAUAGACUGCUGGAUAGCAGGGACGCCAUGGGGCGUUGGGUGCCUUCCUUAUUUAAGUGAAGAGCAAGGUGGAUUUCUAGGUGAGAGAAGGCUUGAGGGAUGAUGGCAACCUGUAGCCCCCAAAGAUGCUGUGGUGACACUUUCCUGAGUGCCCUGGUGCCCUGGAGGGUUGGGAGGCUGCUGGCUGCAGCAGAGGCUGGUUUUCCUCCUCUCUGGACACUCACCCUGUUUCUGCAGCUCUCCCUGGAGUGUACUCCAUGCUCCUAAAUGGCUCCUUAUGCCAACUGUGAAAAUGUCCUGUACAAGCUUGGGAGGCUGGGAACUCACUGCCUUGUCUGAGCUUGCUUGGUAGUGAGUUCCAGUCUGUGCAAACAGUUUUUGAGUAGUCUUAUCUUUCCACCAAACAUUAUGUUCUUCUGGGUGUUUUAUUCCCUUCAAGGAGAAUAGUAAUGGGUCAAGCUAUCCUGCCUCACUGACACUUGUUUCUGCACCUGAACAGCAGUCCCACUGUAUCCAGAUGAGGAACAAUCCUGUUGGUUUGAUCUUCCUGCUCUGCUUUGAGGGCUUUACAGGGCUUCUCCACAAAAUUUUAGAAAUAACUCAGUCCCUGCUAGAAUGACCAGAAGUCCCCUGUAGUAGAACUCUCUGUCACCCCCUCACCUUGAGCACCAGUUGCCUUUCAGCAUUUUGUCUGCUACACUUAGAUAAAUCCACGUGAUCUAGAAGCCAUCAGCUGAUAAACUUUCAGUACUCCAGAGGCAAAAUGCCUUGAGAGGAUCCCAAAGUGCUUUCUUGUGCACAUCCACAAUGACAUGUCACCCUUAAACUCAGUUUUGUGUUCCUUGUGCAUUAGCACAUUUAUACUGGCUGACAUUGCUUCUCAGCUCUAGGAAAUAUAUUUCAUAUUCUCAUCCUCAGAUCAGUUUAUUUUUCCCACUCUACAACUUGGUUAAAAUAUACCCCACUCCUCCUCUCACCCCAGAUUCCUGCCACAUACCUGGCAUUCUUUCAUCCUUAAUGAGAUGAAGGAGUGGGGGAUUUCACCCUCCUGGAAUUUUAGAGGAAUACUAAGUGGAUUUCUCAUGAAAAGCCCCAUUUAGGAUAUGAGUCUCCCUGAAAGAUAGUCCAUGACAGCAAACCUUGCUUUUGCUGGUAAUGGUGAGCAGAGUUUUUACUUCCCUGUUCCAUAACUACUUUCUGCUUAGUUGUUACAAGUGCUGCCAUUGAUGGAGACCCUGUUGGAGCAAGUUCCCAGUGGAUGAAGCAGAGAUUUGCAUCCUUGCAAAGGCGCCUGUUUGAGCAGCUCUGGCUCCUGAAUUGAAGGAAGUGUUUUCCUGAAAUGCAGACACAAAUACUCCUGAGUUUUCUGGCUCAGGAAGUCAGUCCUCAAAUCUGAGGCUGACUUUAGAGCCACAGACACCAGCAGUCCCCACCAGGCUGGUAGGAACCCAGAGAGUCCAGUCUUGCCAGAAGUGACAAAUUCCAGUUCUUCUGCUUUGCAGACUUCAUGUCCUUGACAUAUUUUUUUAAUGGGCUUUGUCAGAAGAUGCCCAACUUGCCCCUUCCUUUCAAAAGAAGGCACCAUGUUUUAAAUUUAAGCAAAAAAACCCUGGUAUUUAAUAUUAUUAUAAAAAUAUAUAUUAUUUCAGAUCUCCUGGAAAUUAAAGCAAAAGCAUGUUUCUUUUUAAAGUGUUUUGCACCUUCACAUUUAUACUUGAAAAUAAAAGGCUGUACCUCUCUCAAUGUGGCAUCAGUUUCUUCUGAGAGGUAUAAUUCAAAUAUUUUGAACUUAAGUGCAAGCCUUUAAUGCCACAAUUUUUUAGUACCACAACCAACCACAGCCACAACUGUUUAGACAUAAAA